UAGCCGUAAACGAUACUCGCUAGGUGUCGGCCACGGUGCGACCGUUGUCGGUGCCGUAGGGAAGCCGUGAAGCGAGCCACCUGGGAAGUACGGCCGCAAGGCUGAAACUUAAAGGAAUUGGCGGGGGGAGGCACCACAACGGGUGGAGCUUGCGGUUUAAUUGGACUCAACGCCGGGAAGCUCACCGGAUAAGACAGCGGAAUGAUUGCCGGGCUGAAGACCCUGCAUGACCAGCUGAGAGGUGGUGCAUGGCGUGUGACUGU
Molecule: ribosomal RNA, 263 nt
Filed under: uncultured archaeon
Lineage: Archaea
Description: partial 16S ribosomal RNA
Rfam family: Archaeal small subunit ribosomal RNA
Source: RNAcentral